UAGGGAGUUUCGAUUGGCAUCCAACAUGAUAUUACAAAUCUCUUCAGUGCUACGGAUAUUCCCAACAAGGUUAUCCGUUUGUUGUACGAUUUCAUCGACUUGUUUGCAAUACGUUUCAAGCAACAAUUCAACCUCGUCAUGUUUGUCCAAAUCCCGAGGCUUUCCGGUUUUAAGUCGUUCUGUAAGAUACAUACCAGCCAAGUCUUGAUCCUGUUCAAGAAGUUCAUCCAAGACAUCACGAAUUAAAGUUGCUUUUUUUAAAAACCCAGAUAACCGUUUGGAAAAUAUAAGUAAAGUACGUAACCGCUCUUGAUUGAUAUCUAGCUCGAAAUCAGCUAACAAAUCAGAUACAAGGUUGUGAAGGACAUGAAGCUCGGAAUCUAGCGUAUUCACAACGCUUACCAGGAUUGUUUCCAAAGCCCUCAUUUCGUAAGGGAGCCAACCAAAAUCGCUAGACUUUUGCUUAAGUCUUCCUUCUAACUCAUAUAUAAACUGUGAUUGAGAGUGUGAAUGUUGACUUCCGUAUACAUCAAACAGUAAAACAGAAUUGGCUUUAAUCAAUGCUCGAAUGUGUAACAAAUUUAUCAGGAUUGAGCCUUCACGAACAAGGAUAACGGGAACAAUGGAAUUAAUACUCGUAUUUAACUUUCUAAGGUCGCGAGGUAAUAAUCCGUUUUGUUUGCACAAGUCCAUUUUUUUGAAAUCUCCCGAAAUAACCCGGACAUUUCCAUGAUCGUCAAACUCUGUACAAUUCAUUAAAAGCCGAUUUUUUGUUGCAGCCACCGAAGGUGGACAAUUUUUGGAAGUCUCCGGAAAACCUGUGAUCAACGGAUUAGAGUCUGUAGCAUAAAAAUGUUUGUCAAAUGGCUUCUCCAAUAACACCACGGGUCGAAUUAUUCGCGACCGAUAUUUUGGAAAUAAAAAAAGAGAACGACAUAUUGGAGAGAAAGAGGCAAUUGACGUUCUUAAAUUAAAUCCCACAAUCAAUACCAUUUGUUUAUUUCGUGCCGCCAACAAAUUUGAUACAAGCUACGAAACUGAGAAACCGCGACAAUCAAUUCACUUUAAAAACAACAAUGUUUCUUAAGGAAAUAUUGGAAGCUCAGUUUCUUCGAAAAAAUAAAGAAAUAACAAAAAAUGCUAUA
Non-coding RNA from Schizosaccharomyces pombe (fission yeast), 1145 nucleotides. The record is from the annotation of a GenBank genome assembly. Lineage: Eukaryota; Fungi; Ascomycota; Schizosaccharomycetes; Schizosaccharomycetales; Schizosaccharomycetaceae.